GAUGAACGCUGACAGAAUGCUUAACACAUGCAAGUCGAUGGGGAAGUGGUGCUUGCACCAUGGCAACCAUGGCGGACGGGUGAGUAACGCGUAAGGGACUUACCUGCAGGACUGGGAUAACAGGGGGAAACUCCUGACAAGACCGGAUAAUGUCAUGGAGCUGCAUGGCUUUAUGAUGAAAGGAGACGCCUGCGGAGAGCCUUGCGUCCUAUUAGCUAGUUGGUGAGGUAAUGGCUCACCAAGGCGAAGAUAGGUAGCCGGCCUGAGAGGGUGGACGGCCACAAGGGGACUGAGAUACGGCCCUUACUCCUACGGGAGGCAGCAGUGGGGAAUAUUGGACAAUGGGGGCAACCCUGAUCCAGCAAUUCUGUGUGCACGAAGAAGGUUUUCGGAUUGUAAAGUGCUUUCAGCAGGGAAGAGGUAAGUGACGGUACCUGCAGAAGAAGCGACGGCUAAAUACGUG
This 463-nucleotide ribosomal RNA is filed under the name uncultured bacterium. RNAcentral describes it as "partial 16S ribosomal RNA". It matches the Rfam family "Bacterial small subunit ribosomal RNA", at positions 28 to 507 of the family's 1533-position model. The record is from RNAcentral.